CAAAAGUUUGAAGAGAUAGGAUCUGAAUGCCGCAGGCUCAAAGAGGAGACGAUGAACAUAGCCAAGCAGAGUGAUUACAACCAAGUCAGGAUAAACCUAAUGUUUAGCAUCUUGAAAGCCCGUGAAGACAACAACUUUGCCCAUGCUGAUCACCUUACUGGGCUCCUCCGGUUGGUUAAAUUCCCUUCGCCAUUUCUUUUCUUAAUUCUUGGGAUUUCGGAUUUCAUAAUUAAUCUUGCUAAUGCUAGCUAUUACAAGGAGAGAAACAUAAGUUAACGAACUCAAAAUAAAAGAAUCAAAAUGCACCCUUGAUAAUUAAUCUUCUCUCAAUAAUUGUGUUUCCUAUUCGUUGUGUUGGCAGCAAGGAAAUGGAAAAGCAGGAACAAGGAAAGGCAGGCCUGGUUGGCUGACUCAUGAUCAUGGAAAACGACGAGCAGUUUGCCUUUGCAGUGACUCCUGAUCGUCUUUUCUUAUUAAAAUGAAAUCAUCAGUCCUAAAUCUAGAUAUGUAUCGACAUUAGUCUUCCCUUGAUAUCCUUCUUCCUUUGAUGAAGUAUUCAUUUGAUUAAGGAUUUGCGUUCUCUUUCCGAAUUGAAUGUUUUGAGUUAUAGUACAUACCAUGUGAAUUGCCGGGCGAUGCCACCGAUUGUUAUAUAAACGGUAUAAGCAUUCGGUUGAGUAUAAUCUGAGGUAAUCGAAGAAGAACAUAGGCCGACAUAAUUAAACAAAAUGAGAAAAAAAAUAAAAAUUACUAGAAGUAUUGAGGUUAAGCAAUGCAAUCACAAGCUUUAUGUUAGAGAAACGUAAAGUCUUAACUAGCCUGUUUAGCUUUGCAGUAUUCAGUUGUUUUUAUUUAUUUUGAUUUUGUUUUUUAAGAAUUAUUUUUCAUAUUAAUUUUAAAAUAAAUAAAUAAAUAAAUCAUUUUUUUUUACCAAAAAAGGGUGUGGCUUCAAUAACAAAUAGUGAAAAAGUCUCAAAUACAAAGCAACAAGUACAUAAUAAAUUACCUGAUUGUUAAUCAAGGUAUACAUAAAUUCACUCGAAUAUUUAUAAUUAUUAAAAUAAUAAUAAUAAAGAAAGAAAGAGCUCCAGACUUUUUGACCGUGCAUUCUCAUUUCACUUUGAAUUCCAGUGAGAUUGAUAAUUUCUUUUGGAAAAAAAAACUUGUUUAACUUUGUCUCAGGUGUAGAAAGGUGUUUUCAAUGGGAUUUAUUAGUAAUUAUUAUUUUUAAUAGGGACAACUUAGUUUGUUUGCGUUUUAAAUAAAGUGUAAUGAUUUAAACACUUUUAAAAGUAAGAAAAAUUAAAACUAGUAGGAAUAGUUUUAUGGUUUUAUAGUAAAAGAAUGAUAUUGCCCUUAAAAGAAAAUGAUAAAACUUGUAUUCAGAGUCAUUUAGAUCUUUUCAAUACAGUUAUUUUGUAAUUAUAUAUUUGAAUUAAAAACAAUUAAAUCUUUAAUUAUAUUUAUAUAAAUAAUUAAUAUAUGUCACAUACAUUUUAGCAAGUGAAAGGCGUUCAUGCUCUUAAGAUGAUGUUUGCCUCCCCUAACAAUGGUUAAAAGUUGUGUAAACAAUGAUGUUUGAAACGAUGGGUCAUUCUCUUUGCGAUGGUGGGAUGCUUGUUUACGAAUGAAGUGUGGUUGAGCUCCUUAUAAACAUUUUUCUUUUCCUGUUUUUUCUUCCUCUUUUAGUCUAGAAAUUGAUGCCAACUCUUUUAAAAAUUUAUUGUGUUCUCUAGUUUGUAUUUUUAUUAAUUUUGAUUAUCAUUUGUUUUUGCUUUUAAUGCAUUUUGAUCUUUAAUUGAUUUGCAAUUUCAUCCAUAAGAAUUUUGUUUCAUUUAAUUUUUAUAUGAAAUUUGAUCUUUAUUAUUUUAUUUCUAUUUUUUUUGUUUUUAUACUUAUCUAGAUUUUUUUUUUCAAUUUUACCUCUCAUUAUUUUAUUUUAUUUAAUUUUUGCAUUCAAUUUUAAUCUUUAUUUUUUUAUUGUUAUUUUUUUUAUUUUCUUAAUUUUUUUCAUUUAGCUUUUAUGCUAGAUUUAGUCAUUGUUGUUUCGAUUACUAUUUAUUUUGGUUUUUAAUUUUGGAUGAUUAAGGAUUAUGCUUAGUGAUUUUUUAUUGUUUGCUUUUAAUGAGAUAAUCUCGAUCUUAUGAACCGGGUCACUAUUUCAAGGAUUAAUCCGAUUUAACUUUGAUUUUUUAUUCCUUUUUUUUAAAACAAAAUAAUUACUUUUUAAUUUCAUCAUUUGGUUUUAGGUUAUUAGGUCUAAAUUCCCCCCAUUUAUGUGGUGUUAUUUCGGUGUUAUAUCUUAGGUUGAGUUUUUUUCGAGAUAACUCUGGUUUUUUUUUUUUUAAUUUAGUUUUUCUAAUUUAAUUUUUUAAUAUUAAAUUAUUGAACCUUACAAAUUGUAUUUUGUUCAUUAUUUUUUUUUUUUAUAAGUUUAACAUGAUCUCGAGGUCAUUGUCUUUUUUUUAAAUUAAUUUUUUUAAUCUGGAACUCCCAUCACGGGUCGCAUGGUAGUCCAACUAAUCUGAGUUAAGUUAAAGUUUUUUCAAUUUUUUUUUAUUUUUUUUUACCAGUCGCACGCACUGUGUAGCGUAAAACUAAAAGUUGUAUCAGAAGAAAUGUGCAGGACAUGUGUAGGUCGGCUAAUGCUGGCCAUAAAUAGCCAUGUCUGUGAAGCUAUGCAGGUGUGCUAGUGGAGACAGAAACACUUAUGCAGAAAAGUGUGACGUAUGUUCCGGUAGUUCCAAAAAGAAUCAGAUAAAUAGUUGAGAAAUUUAAUAUUUUAAAGUUGUUUUAUGGGAAACAUGAUAUUUCAAAAAUAUAUUUGUUAAAUGACUUCACAAUUUACGAUGACGAGAGAAAAAUAAAAUAAAUACUUUAAUUAUACAUCAAAUCUAUCAUAAAAAAAACUCGACCAUGUGAAUCUAAUAAAAUUAAAGAAGUUCACCAAGUAGAUCACACUCAUUGAAGCUCUAAUUAUAAUAUCACUAGCAGCAUUAUAAAGUUCUGGACAAAAUAAAUCAAAUAUAAACAAUAAAGAUAAUCAAGGAUAAUGAUAAUUGAAGUGGGUCAUAUAUAAUAGGCGGAAAACAUGGUGAAAUCUAGGGUUAAGAUUAAAAAAGAUGAUGGAAGGGAAGAUGAAGGUGAAGAUGAAGAACAACAAUCAGAUUAGCGAGAAGAACAGGCAUCAAAAUUCUGGAUGGAGAAGUUCCAGUUUUCCAGACUGCAACAGUAGAAAUGAUAAGACCACCUGCUAAGAAGGCCAGUAAUCUGUCGUGAAUGAAGAAAUUCAUGGAUGGUAGCAGCGAGAUUUAGCAUGAAGCAUUUAACUUGUUUUCUCUAUUGUAAUUCAUGUCGCUAGAGGUAAUAGAAUUGCACUUGUCUUGCCAGCAUUUAUAGAGAUAUGAAUCUGUUGAAAGGGAAAUUAAAUCGUAGAGUCAACCUUGUUGCGGAUUCCAAAGGGAAACCAUGAUGGUUUAACAGUUAAGCUUUGGUCAUCAAUGCAAUUGGUUCAGGUUGGGGUUUGGAAGAGGUUCGGUGAACUGCGGCGGCCGGAGCCUAAUCUGAUUAGGAGUGGGUACCCUAGGUUGGUUCGGUGGAACAAAUUGAAACUGGAAGUUGAGAAUGUUUCGUUGGUUCUAGACUCGGAUAAAGAGAGUUUUAGCUCUGGAAAACUGGGAUUUCCUCAAGUUUUAUGGAGAAAAAGAAAUGUGGGCCGGCGACUGUUGGUUCUAGUUUGAACGACGAUUUAAUGGCAUUUGCUCGACGCGUCAGGAUUUCAAUGCUGUGUGGAGUUGGCUGUUCAGAACAGUAUUUACCUCAUAGGGUUGCAAUGCAAUUCGGAACCGACGAAGAUCUUUCAGGGUUGUGUUGGUCAAUGCUCUAAUUAACAGACCUGAGAUUGCAGAGAGCUUAAAGCUUUUGUUGAAGAGCUUGAGCAGAUGAUCACACGAAUAAAAACAGCAAGAUUAAGACAAAAUUGUUAACCUAGCUAGCCUUCUUCGUGAGAACGAUUUGCUUGAUUUUAUUUUAUUUGAAUUCAUGGCUUCUCUUCUCUGUUGGCUAUGCUACUAACAUGGCAGUAGCAUUGCAGCAGGUUCCUAAUAUGGAUAACUCCCGCCAUUGACAACAGAUGCAGAACAAGGUUAAAAGGAUAAAAGAAAUAAAUAUAUUCAUAUGUAACCAUGCACUAUGGCAUGAAGUUAUUAUCACAGUGUGCAGACAAAUGCCGUGUGCUGCUGGACCCAACGAGAGUCUACUAGGCGUUAUCUGUUCUGCCCACCCAAUCCUGACUAGAUAAGCACUUGAGAGUUUUUUUUUAUUUUAUCCAGUUGAUUUGAAGUGUUGUUUUGAUAUAAAUUUUGUAAAGAAGAGAUAUUUUUGUUAAGACCAAUUUGAUAUUUGUAUUUUUGUUUAAUAAUUUUAUCUUUUAAAAAUAUCUUUUAUUUGUUUAUAUAAAAGUUUAAAUAAAAGCAAUAGAAACUAGUAGAAUUCAACAUUAAUUAAAUAUUAUGAUGAUGUUUGAUUCAUGUUGUGAUAACUUUAUAAAUAUUAAAUUCAAAUAAAUUAUGAUGACUAAUUUAAAAUUAAUUAAUUAUUAAAAGAGUUUUUUUAAUAUUAAAAUGAUGAUAUAUUAAAUCAACCUAAACUUUACAGUUUAAUUUGUAAAACCUUGACUUGAAUCAUGAACUCCACUUGACAAAUUAAAAAAAAAAACAUUAAGGUUGUUACGACGAUAAAGCACAAACAACAAUAAUAAUUCAAGAUUUUGACUAAAAGUAGAAUCCAUUAUACAUGUGUGUUGAUUAUUGAGUUAUAACCCGUCCGUAUAUGAAAAGGAAUGAAUUUAGCAAAGUUAUUAAACUCGGUCGACCUAAUGGUUGGACUGGUCUGGGUUUGUUAAAAGACCAGUCAAUGCAAUGACCCGACAAAACCUGGUCGACCCAUGACCCGGAUGAGACCCAAUAUUUUUUUUUUCAAACGUGGUUUUUUUUUAUAACCUUCUUUUUUAUAUUUUUUUUAGUUGGUUAUUAACACUUUUUAAAGUUCACUAUAUAAAUACUAAAAAUAUAUUUUAUUUUUUCAAUGUAGAAUUUGAAACCCUUUAGUAUAUACUCUAUGUUCCCAAGAAAUUUUUUUUUUUUUCAAUGUGGGAUUUCAAGCCCUUUCAUAUAUAUACUUUAUGUUCAUAAGAAAAAAGUUAUGUUUUUUCAAAGUGAGAUUUGAAACCAUAUAGCAUAUAUACUCUGUUUCCAAGAAAAAACGUUGUUUUUUUAAAUAUGUAAUUUGAAGUUCCUUCGUAUAUAUACUCCAUGUUCAUAAGAAAAAUGUUAUGUUUUUUCAAUGUGAGAUAACAAACGUUUUGGUUUAAAUACUUCAACUUAAAAGUAUGACAUAAUAUAUUUUUAAUGUGAGAUUUAAAGCCCUUUAAUAUAUAUAUAUAUAUAAUAUAUAUAUAUAUAUAUAUAUAUAUAUAUAUAUACACCUAUAUUCCUAAAAAAAAAAAUUAUUUUUUCAAUGUAGGAUUUAAAGUCCUUUUGUAUAUAUAUUUUAUUUUCACAAGAAAAAUGUUAUGUAUUUUUCAAUGUAAGAUUUUAAAUUUUUUAUUAUACUUUAUCUUUAUAAAUUUUUUUUUUAAAUUAAUCCAAUUAACCUGUCUACCUUUAGAGCUGAUUUAAUAAUUUUGGGAUGGAAGGAAUAUUUAAAAUAGUCUUAGAACAAGUCACAUUUGUUUGCUACCCGAUUUGAAAAGAGAAAGUUGCUCUCCCGUAAUGUCUACUUUUAAAAUCAAAAGAAUCCAACAGAAAACGGCAACCAUGACCAUGCCAAAAGGGCUUAAACAAAAGCUCUACAAGAUCAAUCCACGAAAGUUAAACUCCAUUGAAUCAAGAUUUGAAUGUGCUGGGCAAUGAAAAGCCCACGAUUAUAUAAAAUAAAAAAAUAAAAUUCAAAGAGAGUACUGGAAUGCUUGACUAUAACUGUAAAACCAAGCCUAGUCCAAUAAAUCUAUGUAAAAAUCCGAUAAUUCAGAACCUAGAUUAAUUGCUAUCAUGAUUUAUGACCUAACCAAUUUAGUUACAUUAAUGUUGACCAUGAUUUAGUCUAGAUUUAUCCUAGUCAAAAGAGAAAAGAAAUUCCAUAAAAUCUUAACAUGAUAAUCGGGGUCAUUUUCUUCGAGCAAGCAACGAAUCUCCAUAAAAUCUUAAACAUAAUUAGUGCAUAGAUUACCAAAUAUAUAUAUAUAUAUAUAUAUAUAUAUAUAUAUAUAUUGUACCAGAUGAAACAAAACAAUUCUCAGUACGUGGCGUUGUUAUACCUGAGAAUGAUCUAAAAAAUCAGGUCAUAGAUUUCUAGCCUAUACACUGAUUUUAUUAAAAGAAUGAAGAAAGAAAUGGAAGUAAAUAUAAACAAAUUUCUAAUACGAACGAAUAAGGCAAGACCAACAAUGUCAGGAUCCUUGAUCAAACACAGAGCAUUCUUAAUAAAGUAUAACAAGAAUUUAAAUGAUGAAAAUAAAGUCUUACUUAAAUUUGUAAUGCAAAUCAAUACACGAGAUAUUGAUUAUAGAGGAGAGUGGAUAUGGGUUAAAGGUACGAGUUACAAGGGAGAAUAAAAUUUUCUCAGGGAAAAUGAUUGUCUGCCUUCUGAGGAUUUAGAAGUCCCCUUUUAUAAAUGAGUUGACACGGAAGAGGCCAAAAUGUCUUGUUGGGAAAGCUUGGAGAUUUCGUUAGAACCCAUGUGAACCCAUGUUGUAUUGCUUUCCAUGAUUGGGUGACGACAAAAUGAAAAAUGCCUAUGUUUUUUGUGGGACUUUCAUUUGUUGUCUUCUUGCCACCGACACUGGAUUUGUUUGUUUGUAAUAGCAGGUGAUAUUUGUAAUAAAAAACCUAAAACUAAUGGGCUUAAAAUUAAAAAGGACUCAAAACAGUUGAGUCGAAAAUAUAUGGGCUCUAAACAGAUGAGCCUGAGAAAGCCUAAAAUACUCUUUUUUUUAUUUUAUUUUAAUGUCGCUUGAUAGGCGGUAGGAUACCAAAACAGUCAUCUUCAUUAUCGUCUCCAAGGGAAAUGGUAAGAGAUAUCGAUCCAGAUGAGCUGGAUUGGGACAAGACCGUUUUCGGGUCUUGGCUUUGUAUAAUGCUUUGGACUAUUUGUAGGUAUUCUUCUUUAGUUUUAGUAGGCAAUGAAAGUUGUCGUUUGAGACUUUCGGGCUAGAAACUUUGAUUGAGGAUGAUGAUCAAUGAUGAGAGCUAUUUGAUGUUUUUGUAACCAUUCCGUAACAACUAAUUUGGAACUUUUGGAUUCAGCUGCAAAAGAAUCCUACCAUUUGAUUUUGAACUUGCGAACAAGUACUAGAUGUCCGAUUUGUAGAUUAUAAUCAUAAAACCAUGAAUAUACCCAUGGCAUAAAAACUUUUAUACAGAAAAUGAGAAGGGAAGAGAACUUCCUUUCAUAAGGAGCUAGUUAAAAUUUAUUUUUGAAAUGGAGGUAACUAUUUUCAACUAGAGGAUGGUCUUUGAGGUAGUCAACAUGACAACCAUAGUAGUCCCACCAUUUGAGGAACCAGAGUGGGAGGUUUGUAGUAUUCAUGUCAUUAUGGAAGUAGAAAAACCAAGAAUGACUAUGGUUUGGAUUUUGUAGUAGGAAGGCAUUGAACUAUGCCUGUUGGUAAUCCUAGUACGUAUAGGAAGUAUUGAAGUCCUAGGGGUUUGUACGGAAGUGUAUGAGGAAGGAGAGAUGUUGAUGUAAGGGUUGUCCCCAAUCUUUAGGGUGAAUGACUUUGUGAAUGAUACAUGUAGAAUAUGGCGGUUCAGUGUGAUCAGAAUGAAGUUUGAAGUGUUUGAACUUGACAAAAUUGGUAAUUUCAAGGAUUGCGGCAUAAUAGGUGGUUUGGCUAAAUUCCAGGGUUUGUAGUACCAAUUUGAAUGGAAAAUUUUGGAAGCAACAAUGGAAGGGUUUUCAUGUUAAAAUCCUUCUUCCAUAGUUAAAAUAUUUUGGAAAGUAGUUUUGAAAAUAUAUUUGGAUUUGGUGUUUGGAAAACUGGUUUAUUGUAAAGAAAAGAGGGGUUUUGAAGCAGAAAUGCCUCCUUGAGGUUUUGAAAAUGAUUUGGAAAUAGAUACGGAGUCGCUGGAGGCCUAUUGAGACACUUUUUAUAAUGUUAGGAGUAAUUCUGGUGAUUUGGAUAUAGUGUCAACCCAAUGUUGAACUGCGUAUGUUUGUACAUAUGGUGGUUUUAUAGUUUCUUCUUCUUCAAUAACUGCCUCAUACCAGGAUUUGAUGGGUUUGACAGCUAAGAUAGCUGAAGACAUGAGUUUUGAAAAAGGCUUGGGGCUCUCUGAUUUUGUAGGCUGGGUUUGAGGGGCUUUCCCCUUGUUUUUGGCCUUUGCUUUAGGAGGCAUCAAUACCUAUUUUGAAGGAAUUCUCAGGUUAGGAAAUCAGAAUGGAAUUUGAAUCUCCUUUAAUGUAGACAAUAUCGAAAUAAAAAAUGCUUAAAAUAGCUUGCCAUCUGGCAAAAAUCUGUUUUAAAGCAAGAUUUUGGACAUCUUUUUGUAGAAUUUUUUUUUUGCAGAUUUGCAAUUAACACGUAAAAGAAAUUUUUGAUUUAAUAAAUCACUUUGAAAUUUUGUAAUACAGAAAACAAUUGAAAGGAUCUUUUUUUAUAGUAGAGUAAUUUUUCUGGCAAUCAUUCUAGUGGGCGGAUGUGUAUUGGAGGAUUUGUUCUUUAAGAAUCCCACCAUAUCCUAGGUCAGAGACAUCGGUCUCGACAAUCUUAGGAGCUAACGGGUUAGCUAAAUGGAGGAGAGAAAUAGUUUGGACCUCUUACUUAAUCUGUUUGACUAGGUCGGUAUGGAUGUCGGACCAAGAAAUGAGGUUUGUUUUUAACGUGUCAUGUAAAGGUUUGGCUAGACCGCUAAUAUUGGGAUAGUAGUCUAGAACAUAAUUAAGACUGCCUAAAAACCUUUGCAAUUGGGUUUUAUCGGUGAUCUUAUUAGGAAAUUUAUUUGUAAAGGUUAGAGACUUUUUUAUUGGUGUUACAGUGCCUUGGCAAAUAUAAUGCCCUAGAAAACGGACACGAUUUGGAAGAGAGAAAAUUUUGUUUUAGAAACAAUUAAACCAUUUUUUUUUGUAGUAUGAAAGGAAGUAUGUAGAUGUUUGAAAUGUUGAUCUAUGGAAUGUGAAAAAAUAAUCACAUCGUCAAUGUAAACAAUGCAGAACUUUGAAUGUGCAUUGAAGAUGUCAUCCAUGAUGCGUUGAAAUUCAGAUGGUGCAUUUUUUAGGCCAAAGGGCAUAACAAUCCAUUUGUAUUGGCCUAAAGGAACUAUAAAAGCAGUUUUGUAUCUAUCUUUGGGAUCAAUCUGUAUUUGCCAAAAUCCGGAUUUCAUAUCGAACUUAGAAAAUAUGAAUGCAGAGUGCAAUUUUUGUAACAUAUCUUUUUUGUUGGGGAUUAGAUAUCUGAUCCAUUUGAGAGCAGAAUUUAAAGGUUUGUAAUUGAUCACAAGUCUUGGUAUGCCUCUUUCGAUUUCAGAGUUUUUAUUCACAUAAAAGGCUGCACACAACCAGGGUGAUCGAGACUUUUGGAUAAGACCUUUAGACUCGCAAUCGCGGAUUUCAAGUAUGCAAUGCUGUUCUAAAUCAACAUUUAUUUGGAUAGGUCUUGCUUUUGUAGUUAUAAGAUUUUUUGAAAAAGUAUCUUCAUAUGAAAGAUCAACGAUGUGUUGUUUUCUUUUCUAGAAAGCAUUAGGUAAGUCUGAACAGAUUUGUUGUUCAAUCUUAUUUUGUAAAUCAAUGAUUUUCUUUUGUAAAUCAGAGUUUUGUAAUUGUUUGUUUAUACGACCAAAAAAAAAAAGGUUUUGUAAAUCAUGUAAAUGGAAUUGUUUUCCAUGAAUCAGUGCAUUGAUAUGAUAAGUAUGUAUGGAGCAUGCUUUAAUCAAAUUUAAAUUUCUAGUCUUAGAUUUCUCUAAGAAUGGGAGAACAAGUUUGAUGCUAUUGAUUUUGGAAGUAAUACAAUUAUGAUGUGCUUGAUAUGGAGUGAUCAUGUCGAUGAAUGGAGUGCCAAGAAUGAUAGUAUGAUUAAUAUCUUUUGUAACAACAAAGAAUGUUUUAAGAGAAAUACCUUUGUUGAAAACAGAGGUUGAGUUUUGCCUGCAAUAUGUAACUUUGAAUUAUUAGCAGCAAAGAGUUUUUCAGAGGUAUUUUGUAAAAAUUAUUUUGGAGCCACACCUUCUUUGAUGCAGUUCAAAUAUGCACUUGUGUCAAAUAAGACAAUAGUGUCAAGUUUGAAAUCUCUUGAGAAAAUGAGAGUAAUUCUAGUUAAAUAUUUUUUUGAAGAUAUUUGUGUUAAUACGUUAAGGAAAUCAUUUAGAACAUGCUCAAUAUUUGUAAGUGUAUGUGGCAAUGCAUGAGAUUCAAUGGUUUGAUCUUCUAUAUCAGACUCAGUAUCAAACUAGCUUUCAAUUAUGGAUAGGAGAUGUUGUAGUAUGGCAGAGUCUUUUUGUUGGGCUUGGUUGAGGGUUUGUAAUUCGGAUUUGAGGGUUUUGAUCCUAGAAUGUAAUUCUGAAAUGGUGACUGUGGUUUUGAAUUUCUUUUUGUUAAGGAUCUUUGUAAGGUCAUAGGUACUGGUACUAGUAGAGGGUAGUAUAGAGCGAUUUAGAGGGUUAGAUGAAAGGUAAUCUGGUUGGUUGAAAUCUUUCAAUAACUUAUCUAAGUAGGUUUUUUGAAGUUGAGGAUCAUCAAGUCUUUUGAUAACCUCAAGAAUGAAUUUCUAGUCUUGGGUUAAGACGUUAAUUUGUUUGGAAUUUGUAGAGGCAUAUGAAGUAGCACUAGUAGUUGCUAUUUUAUCGAUUUGAAAUUCUUCUUCAGAAGUGUCUGAAGGAGAGUGGUCAAUGUCUGUGACUUCAAUGUAAAGAUUUUAUAUUUGGUUGAUGGUAUCUUCAUUUAUUUUGAGCUUACAAAGUUUGGUAUUGACCUUGCAGAAACGAGAUAUAUGUCCUUUCUGGUUACAUUUGUAACAAAUAAUGUUUUUAAAAUUAAAUGUUGGUUUGGAUUUUGACUGAAAAUGUCCGUGGGGCUUGGUAAAUUUAUAGAGCUUUUUGUAGUAAGGUUGAUUUAAUUUGGAACAAAACUGUUUUCAUAGUCGACAAGCUCCUCUCUUUAUCCAUUCAGUCCUGAAAAGUAACUAAGACAAUUUCAGUUAUAUUUUCAUGUUCCAAUUAAACACUUUUUAUUUUUUUAUUCUCAAAGAAAAAUAUAUUUUUUUAUUAAAUAUAUAAAGAUCCAAUCAUGAUUUUAUAAUAAGAAUAAGAGAUAUUUUAGUUGGAAAUGAAUCUAAAUGUUAGCUAGAUAAAUGUUUUGUAUGAAUCCUGUAGACCAUUCUUACGAGGAUCGUGAGAGGAGGGCUACAAUUCGUAGAAAAGAAACUGCAAUUCCUUGAGGUCAUCCUGCACUUGUAGAAAAAAUGUAGAAAAUAGAAUUUGAAACAGAAAGUUGAGAAUGUUUCCGUUGGUUCUAGACUCGGGAAAGAGAGAGUUUUAGCUCUGGAGAACUGGGAUUUCGUCAAGUUUUAUGGACCUGUUUUUGGUCAAUGCUCUAAUUAACAGACCUGAGAUUGCAUAGAGCUUAAAGCUUUUCUUGAGCAGAUGAUCACACGAAUAAAAACAGCAAGAUUAGGACUAAAAUUGUUAACCUAGCCUUCUCGUGAGAAUGAUUUGGUUGAUUUUGUUUGCUUUGCUAGUUAUGUUAACAACUCAAGCUUGGCUUUGACAUAUGAAGCAGAUGAAAGUGUUUGGGCUUUAAGCUUUUCAUGACCACCCGGCCGGAGAUUGAAUUCCUGGCUUCUCUUCUUCUGUUGGCUCUGCUACUAACAUGGUAGUAGAGCUUUCGACUGUCAGGCAUGGCGUCAGUAUCGUCAGUAUCGUCACUACUAACAUGGUAGUAGAGCUUCCUUGAAGUUGAAUAUGACUCCUCGGAAGCUCUUCGAUGCCAGUCUUCACAUCGUAAUGUAUUCGCUUCUAACUUAUUUGGGGUCUUUUCAGAAUGGAUCUUGAGAAUGUUCCUCCUCCUGUUCUUCGGUAUCUUUUGGACGCUGAUAGAAUAGGUAUUGCAGCAGGUUCCUUCAUAGAUCAUAACUCCCACCAUUCACAACAGAUGCAGAAGAAGGUUAAAAGGAGAAAAGAAAUAAGUAUGGUAACCAUUGCAGCAGCAUGGCAUGAAGAGGUGUGCUGGACCCAACGCACAGUCUACUAGGCGUUAUCUUUUCUGACAAGCCAAGCAGUCGAGAUUUUAUUCGAUUUUAUCCUGUUGAUUUGAAGUGUGCGAUUUGAUCGAGAAAAAAACUGAAAAGUAUAUUAAAAAUAAAUAAUAAUUAAAAAAAUCGAAUGGGAUAGGGAUAAGGAAUCGCGGCGAUAAACAAACAGAGGAGGCAAGAUAAUAGAUAUGUAAAACCUUCCCCUUCCACCAACAGGGCAUUCCAACAGCCUUCUCGUGCAAACAGUCGAAAAUGCUAGAAAAGAGAAAGAAUAAAAGUGGAUUCAACCUCAGCCAAACUCGUACCUGAAGAUAGAAGAAAGUGAAUUAUUCACGAGUAUACAUAAUAGUAUUUGCUUCCGUAAUCUUGCCACCAAUGUAUGGAAUCGAUUAAAUUAAUUAAAAUUUUUUAAAAAAUAAACCGAUUUGGUUCGGUGGAACAAAUUGAAACAUGAAGUUGAAAAUGUUUCAUUGAAUAUGACUCCUUGGAAGCUCUUCGAUGCCAGUCUUCACAUCUUCAUAUUCAGGCUCUUCUUGGCUCGAGGAGACCAUGCAAAUUCCUUCAUUAAUUAAUUACGGUGAAGGUAAUCAAUGUAUUCGCUUCUAACUUGUUUCGGGUCUUUUCAGAACAAUUCAAUGGAUCUUCAGAACGUUCCUCCAAUUCUUCGGUAUCUUUUGCAGCAGGUUCCCUCAUGGAUCAUAACUCCCACCAUUCUCAACAGAUGCAGAAGAAGGUUAAAAGGAUAAAAGAAAUAAAGGUUAAAAGGAUAGUAACCAUUGCAGCAGCAUGGCAUGAAAAAGCUUAUCACAGUGUGCAGACAAAUGCCGUGUGCUGGACCCAACACACGGUCUGCUAGGCGUUAUCUGUUCUGCCCACCAAUUCUUACAAGAUCAGCACUUGAGGUUUAUUUGCUUUAUCUUUAUCUUUAUCUUUAUCUAUCUUUAUCAGUUUAACAAUUUUAUUUUUUUAAUUAUAUAAUAAUAUUAUAAAAUUAAACUAAAUAUUAUGAGAUGUUUGAUUGAAACUAAACAACUUUAUAAAAUAAUUCUUGAAUGGAUAAUCUGAAAACACCAAAAAUAAUUCAAGAUUUUUACUGAAACUAGGGCCCGUUAUGGAUGUUGUUGGUUAUUAGGCUAGAUAUGUUAUGUCCAUAACAAAUGAAUCUGAUCUAAAUAUUUAAAAGAAUUAUUAAAAAAAAUAAACAGUGUAUAUAUAUAUAUAUAUAUAUAUAGAUAUAGAGGCCCAUAGAAGAUCAGCCUGAUUAGGUUUCUAGCGUUAUCGUGCGUUAGUUAAAAAUAAAUCUGAUCAAAUACACAAUUUUGUCAACUAACACUCCUCCUUAAGUUAGUGCAUAAAUAUCUAUUAUGCCUAACUUGUCAAUCAUACUCUAAAAAUUCUUAUUUAAUAUUGUGUUAGUGAGGAUAUCAGCUAUAUGACUUGCAGAUUUAACAAACAAAAAACAUAUAAUUUUUUUAUUAUCUAAAUUCUCUUUGAUGAAAUGACGAUCUACUUCAACAUGUUUAGUUCGAUCAUGUUGAACAUGAUUAUGUGUAAUCUGCUUAUUAUCACAUUACAAAUUGAUAGGAUCUGUAUACUUGAUCUCCAAAUCCUUGAAAACACUCUUGAUCCAUAACAACACAUAUUCCCUAAACCAUUUCUUGAAAUUCUACUUCUACACUAGAUCAUGCUACAACUUUCUAUUUUUUACUUCUCUAAGUAAUCAAAUUCCCUUCCACAAAGGUCAGAUAACCAAACAUAUACCUUCUUAGUGUUUGAUCUCCUGCCCAAUCUGUAUCAGUAUAGCCUUUAAUAUUUGAGACACAAUUCUUUGAGUACUAUAAACCUUUGUCAGGCGCACCUUCAAGAUAUCUCAAGAUUAUGUAAACUGCAUCCAUAUGCAUAAAUUGGCUCACAAUACAUAUAAUAUAAAUUAUAUCAAAACUAUUGUGGGUUAGGUAAAUUAACUUACCCACAAGUUUUUGAUACCGACCCAUAUCUAUAGGGACUUGAUCUGGAAAGAUCCCAAGUUGACGAUUCAUUUGUAUUGGUGUUUCAAUAGGUUUGCAAGCUAGCAUCUCAAUCUCACUUAGAAGAUUUAAUACGUAUUUAUAUUGUGAAUGGGAAAUUCCUUGUUUGGACCUUACUACUUCAAUGCCAAGAAAAUACCUUAGUUGUCCCAAAUCUUUCAUUUUGAAUUCUACAAACAAGUACUCUCGUAGUGUCCUCAUUUCUUUAGGAUCAUUACCUAUCAAAAUCAUGUCAUCUGCAUACAUAAUGAAUGUCGUUACCCUUCCAUCUUUAUGUUUUACAAAUAAUGUAUGAUCUAUAUUGCUCUAUUCAUAACCAGCUGCUUUCAUUGCCAAAGUAAACCUCCCAAACCAAGCACGAGGAGAUUGCUUUAAACCAUACAGAGAUCUCUUUAGUUUGCACACUCUGCCUUCGUGUUUGGAACUUUGUUUUAUUCCAGGCAUAAGUUCUAUUUACACCUCUUCUUCUAGAUCACCGUUCAAGAAAGCAUUUUUUACGUUGAAUUGUUGUAGGGGCUAAUCUCAAUUUGCAGCAAUGGAUAUGAGAAUAUAGAUGGUGGUGAUCUUGGUUACUGGUACAAAGGUCUCUUGGUAGUCGAUACCAUAUUUAUGGGCAUACUCUUUGGCCACGAGUCUCGCUUUAUAUCUAUCUAUGCUUCCAUCCGCUUUAAGUUUAACAAUGUAUACCCAUCAACACACAAUCACCUUUUUUUUCUGUUGAUAACACAACAAGUUCCCAAGUGGAGUUCUUUUGUAAGGCUUCCAUCUCUUCAUUCAUGGCCUUUUUUCACCUUGAAUCUGCCAAUACAUCCUACACAUUAUUAGGAAUAUAUACUUUGGAUAAUUGAUUAAUGAUUAGUGCAUAAGAUUCCAAAAGUCCAUGAAAAGAGACAUAGUUAUUGAUAGGAUAUUUAACAUUGGUUUUACUAUACAGCUCGUAUUGUUUCUUUGUAACACCUUUAUUAGGUCUUUGUGAAUACCUAGGAGUGGGUUGAGAUGUAUCCUUAGUGGUGGGAUUAUCUAGGAUAUUUUGGGCAGAAAAAUCUAUGGUUGAUGGUGCGAGUAAGUCACUCAUCACAGUUUCUUCCUUAUUAAGGUUUGUAGCUUCUGUGUCACCAGCACACAAUUCGGUCAUCUCAACUUCUUCCCCAUCAUGGUUUACAACAUCUAUGUCACCAACAUAAUCCCCACAAAGAUCACUGUCCAAUGAUAAAUUCCUCUUGUUUGGAAUAGUUUAAGUAUUAGUGAACGAAGUAGCAUUAUACUCGUUAUUAUUCAUCCUUUUUUUCAAAUGCCACUAGCUACAUAAAAACACCAUCAUCCUCACUUUUAUCAAAAACAAUAUUGCAAAGCUCACCUUUUUCAUACACAUUCCCCCCUGAAGAGGAGAGCCUAAGUCGCUUGUUAAAUAAUAAGGAUUCAUUUCACGAAAGGAGACAUCAAGAGAUAUAUGUAGCUUAUGAGUUUGAGGGCAGUAACAUCUGUAUCCUUUCUGAAAAUUAGAGUAACUAACAAAUACACAAUAUUGUACAACCAAAGGUUUUAGGUUCGAAGUUUGGUUGAUGGGGUGUGUAAAAGAAGGUUUGUAAUUUUUAGUAUGGGGUCUGGAAAUCAAUCACCCAGGAAGGCACUAUAUUGAUAAUGUAGACAGUAGACUUAAUAGCCUCUCCAUAAUAGAAGGGAGGCAUAUUCAUUCCAAAAAAAGAUGCACGUACCACCUCCAUGAUCUGCCUAUUUUUCCUCUUCGCAAAUCCAUUUUAUUGAGGUGUGCAGGUGCAAGAAGUAUGAUGUCUAAUUCCCUGUUUUCGAAGAUAAUCACCAAGCAAGUUCUCAAGAAAUUCCAUGGAAUUGUCAUAUUGCCAUACCUAAAUCUAUUUGUGAAAUUGAGUUUUCACCAUGUUGUAAAAUUCCUAAAAAGUAGUACUUGCAUCACUUAUCUUAUGUAAUAAGGAUACUCACGUCAUACGAGUGCAUUCAUCAAUAAAGGUAAUAAAAUAACGAGUUUUAGCCAUAAAUGGGAUGACUAUAAAUCCCCAAGUAUCAAAGUGAAUAACCAUAAGGGUUCAGAGCUUUUGUUGAAAGAGGGAAAAUAUGGUUUACUAUGGCUCUUUACCAAUUCACAAAUGUCACACUGAAAAUCCAAAAUAUGCAAUUCUGUAAACAAAUUAGGUUUUAAUUUCUUAAGGUAACUAAAGGAAAGAUGCCCUAGUCUCUUAUGCUAGAGCCACACCUUAAACAGCUUCCUAUCACCCAUCAUCACAAAACAUGCCUUAAUGUACUGCCAUAUGCUAGUUGUUGUCAAUUUCAAGUAGUAGACACCACAACCAAGAGUCUUUCGGGUCAAAAUAUCUAGAAAAACACAAUAAAAAGGCAAAAAAGUUAUAGUGCAAUUUAGUACUAAAGUGAUUUGGCUUACAGAUAACAAAUUCCAUUCAAGACUAGGAACAACCAAUACUAUAUCAAAAGUUAUGGCAGUAGUUAGAGCAAUGGAGCCCUUUCUUGUAAUAGGGGAGAUAUCAUCAUUGAUUGUAGAUAUGACUUGUUAGGAUGAUGAGCGAAGAUUUUGUAAUUUACUAGAGUCUCUAAUCAUAUAAUCGGAUGUACUAGUAUCAAUAAUCCAACUAUUAUCCAUAGUAAUAGCAGAAAGAACACUAGCCUUACCAACACUACCUGGCUGAGUUAAAUUAGGAGGAGGCAUUGAAGUCCCCUCCUGAAUUAGAAGGCUUUCACCUGAUUUAGCUAUUGCAGCUUUCCUAGUAAUGUUCUUUCAUGGUUUUUUUUGAAAAAUCCCACCAGGAUAUCUAAUAAGCUCAUAGCAAUGCAACGUUGAAUGGCUAGAUUCACCACAGUGGGUACAAACAUAGUUAUUUGGCUUUCAUUAACCUUGACUAUUUUUUUCUUUGGUAGAACUAGAACCUAUCCCUCGCUGGUUUCGGUUAACUAUCAUGACUGUAUUUUUAGAGACCGGUCGAGAAACUCCAAUAACUUGUCGAUGUUGUGAGUCUCUUCUCCCACAUGCGUAGGCUGCUUCCAGGUCCAGUUUUGGUUCCUUUCCAAGAAUAUCCCCACGGAUUUGAUCAUUUUCAGAAUCAAGACCGCUUAAAAAAAAUGUACUCACAAUCUCAUCAGCACCGCAUGAAGUUGUACAAUCCCUUCAAUAGAUUCUUAUUUGGAUGUGCUGCAAUAUCGAUUUCUGAAAGAUUGCAACAAGUUCAUUAUAAUAUAUGGGUAAAGGCCUACCAUUUUGAGUGGUUGAAAAGGACUUGUAAUUCAUUUCGACCAAUUGUGUUUCAUCAAAUCCAUUGUAGAAUCUCUGCAUCUAGUGGGGGCUCAUUGAUUCGAUGAGCCAGCUCUUUACUUUAUGAUUUUCGAUAAUCCAUGUAUCAUAGUUCGGAUCGUUAGGUGCAAGUUUCACUGUUGUCCCAAUUAGAUACCCAACCUUGUUGCGGGUCCCAAUAUGCAUCUCUAUCAACUGCAGCCAUAACAUAUAGUUACCAUAUACUGACGGGAAACUUGUUGAAUGAUAAUUGGGUUUGACAAAGGAUUGUGUGGAGUGGCUGGAACAAUUGGAUUUCAUUCUUGUUCUGCUAUUGUGAUUUUGUUUGUAGGAGGAAGUCCCUGGAAUACAAAGGUCAAGGGAGAAUGCAGGGAAGAAUAGUUAAAAAAAAAAAAAAAGUUUUUCAAGCCUGAGCUCUGAUAUCAUGUUGAUUACGACAUUCAACCGAAGCUUUUCAUUCUGUAAAUAUUUCUGCGCGCUACAAUGUAUUCAUCUUUUCAGGAAAUAUAUAUAUAAAGGAAGUAAAACGUCCUAGUAUGCCUAAACUCCUAUUCAGGGUAAGACUAUCUGUACAAGGAAACAACUACAAUCUUGGAAUCCAUACGUCUCGACAGCUAAUACACAAUCUUGCCAGCUACCACUAUCAAAAUGGUAGACCCGUGAUAUUUGCUGGAGAGAAACAAUGAGGCCCUUCUUGGCUCUCUCCAAUCUAUGCCCGAAGGUCGAUGUGCAUGUGAUGUGUCUUCCCACAUGAUGAUCCUGACAGAGCAAGGCCUAACACUUUUCCAGUGUCCUAAAUAGUUUGAUUAACGUGUCUUCCCAAUUUUUAUUUUUUUUAAAAAAAAACAAUAAUAAUAAUCAAAAUAUUAACUGAAAAGAGGACACAAAAUGCGUGUUGCUUGAGAUCUGGUGGUUAAAAGCGUGGCAGUCUAUUAUUUAUGAGAAACUGUUUUAAAUCAUAGAAAUUAUAACAACAUUUUCUGGCGUUAUCGUGCGAUAUCGAAAAGAUACGCGCGAAGAGAUCUACAAAGCUCGAGCGGAAGACUUGAUGACUUUGUAGAUUCAUUUAUACAGAUCCGUAUAAAUGAACGGUAUUGUUAAGAGCCGAUGUUAUUGUAAACACAACCUUUCACUAUCAAUAGAGAGGCGGAAGUCAGUCAAUACGGGUGUCUGCAACUAUGGAUUCGAUCAAGACUUUGGCCCCGAGCCGCCGUGUUUCCAAGUCCAAACACAGGAAACAAUAUAAGGUACGAACCAAAUCUAGUUAUAUUUCUAUGUUUUUCUUAUAAAGAUUAUUCUCAAUGCUUGUUUCUUGACUUGUUGUUGCUAUAUAUCAUGUCAUUAUCCCCAGAAAUUAAAAAUUAUUAUUUUUCUUAUACAUGUUAAGAAGAACAGAGAGAGGAGGGAAACUAUAGAACGAUUGAAAACAGAUAUGAUCGAGAUCGGUGAGGGACAACAACGCAUCAGAGAAGGGCAGCGAGAAAUAAGACAAAAGUUUGAAGAGAUAGGAUCUGAAUGCCGCAGCCUCAAAGAGGAGACGAUGAACAUUGCCAAGCAGAGUGAUUACAACCAAGUCAGGAUCAACCUAAUGCUUAGCAUCUUGAAAGCCCGUGAAGACAACAACUUUGCCCAUGCUGAUCACCUCACUGGGCUCCUCCGGUUGGUUAAAUUCCCUUCGCCAUUUCUUUUCUUAAUUCUUGGGAUAUUGGAUUCGAUAAUUAAUCUUGCUAAUGCUAGCUAUUACAAGGAGGGAAACAUAAGCUAACGAACUCAAAAUAAAAGAAUCAAAAUGCACUGUUGAUAAGUAAUCUUCUCUCAAUCAUUGUGUUUCCUAUUCGUUGUGUUGCCAGCGAGGAAAUGGAAAAGCAGGAACAAGGAAAGGCAGGCCUGGUUGGCUGACCAAUGAUCAUGGAAAACAAGGAGCAGUUUGCCUUUGCAGUGACUCCUGAUCGUCUUUUCUUAUUAAAAUGAAAUCAUCAGUCCUAAAUCGAGAUAUGUAUUGACAUUAGUCUUCCCUUGAUAUCCUUCUUCCUUUGAUGAAGUAUUCAUUUGAUUAAGGAUUUGCGUUCUGUGAUCCUAGUUGAAUGUUCUGAGUUAUAGUAUAUAUACUAGGUGAAUUGCCGGGCGAUGCCGCCGGUUGUUAUAUAAACGGUAUAAGCAUUCGGUUGAGUAUAACCUGAGGUAAUCGAAGAAGAAGAAGAUAGGCAGACAUAAUUAAACAAAAUGAAAAAAAAUACCAGAACUAUUGAGGUUAAACAAUGCAACCACAUGCUCUCUGUUAGAGAAACACAAAGUCUUAACUAGCCUGUUUAGCUUUGCAGUAUUCGGUUGUUUUUUUUAUUUGGAUUUUUAAAAUUUAUUUUUUAUAUUAAUAUAUUAAUUUAAAAAUAAAAAAAAAUUAUUACAAAAAUUAUUUUUUUAGAAAACAACAGUGUGGCAUCAAUAACAAACAGUCUCGAAAAGUCUCAAAUAUAAAGCCACGUGUGCAUAAUAAAUUGUAAUUAAUUUGGAAUUUAUUUUCUAAAUAUUACUAAUUUAAAUGUUAUAAAUCUCAAAGUAAUUUAUCUGAUUUUUAAUUUUAUAGUUUUGAAAAAUUAAUCAAAAUAUAAAUAAGUUGGUCUAGACAUUUAUGAUUAUAUAUAAAAAAAAACAAGAAGAAAAGAAAAAAUUAAAGAGCUCCAGACUUUUUGACCGUGCAUUCUCAUUUCACUUUGAAUUCCAGUGAAAUUAUUAUUUUCCUUUGGAAAAAAGAACUUGUUUAACUUUGUCUCAGGUGUAGAGAGGUGUUUUCAAUGGGAUUUAUUAGCUAUCAUUAUUUUUAAUAGGGAGAAGUUAGUUUGUUUGCGUUUUAAAUAAAGUGUAAUGAUUUAAACACUUUUAAAAGUAAAGAAAAAAAACUAGUAGAAAUAGUUUUAUGGUUUUAUAGUAAAAGAAUCAUACUAUCAUUAAAAAAAUAUAUUAUAAAACUUGCAUUUAAAAAUAUUUAGGUCUUUUCAUCUUUUCAACACGGUUAUUUUGUAAUUAUAUAUUUGGAUUAAAAACAAUUAAAUCUUUAAUCAUAUAUAAAAAAAAAAUUAAAUGGUUGAUGUGUGUCUCACAUGCGUUAAUAAGCGGAAAGUGCUUAUGCUCUUCGGGUUAUAUGUGUCUACCCUAUCAAUAGUUAAAAGUUUGUGUCAAUGACAAUGUUUGAAACGGUGGGUCAUCCUCUUUGUAGUGGUGGGAUGCUUGUUCAUGAAUGAAUUGCGGUUGAACUUCUUAUAAACAUUUUUUUUUCUCGCUCUCUCCUAGUUUAGAAAUUGACACCAACUCUUUUAAAAAUCUAUUAUCUAUUGUGUUCUUUAAUUUGUGUUUUUAUUAUUUUUUAUCCUUAUUUUAUUUAUUUUCAAUUGUUUUUACUUUUAAUGCAUUUUAAUCUUUAAUUGUUUUGCAAUUUCAUCCAUAUGAAUUUUAUUUUAUUUAAUUUUUAUAUCAAAUUUGAUUUUUUUUUUGUUUUUAUACUUUUCUAGAUUUAUUUUUCAAUUUUACCUCUCAUUAUUUUAUUUUUGUAUUCAAUUUUAAUCCUUAUUUUUUAUUGCUAUUUUUUGUUAUUUUCUUAAUUUUUUUCAUUUUUAAUUUUAGUCCCUCAUUGUUUGUUUGUUUGUUUCAUUUAGCUUUUAUGCUAGAUUUAGUCAUUGUUGUUUUGAUUGUUAUUUAUUUAGGCUUUUAAUUUUGGAUAAUUAAUGAUUUUGCUUAGUGAUUUUUUAUUGUUUUUUUUAUGAGGUAAUCUCGAUUUUAUGAACCAGGUCAUCAUUUUCGAGGAUUAAUCUGAUUUAACUUUUAUCUUUUCAUUUCUUAAAAAAAAAAAACCAAAAUGAUUAUUUUUUAAUUUCAUCAUUUUAUUUUAGGUUAUCAGGUCUAGAGUGUUUUUUUUUUUUUGCUUUCCUUUAUGUGGUGUUAUUCCGGUGUUAUAUCUUAGGUUAAGUUUUUUUCGAGUUAACCCAGGUUCAUUCAAGUUUUUUUUUUUUUGAAUCUUUUUCAAUUUAGUUUUUCCGAAUUUAAUCUCUUAAUAUUAAGUCAUUGAGUCUUGAAUUUUUGUUUUUCAAUGAAUUUAACAUGUUCUCAAAUCUUGAAUCUCAAAAUUUUCUUUUUUCUAUUUUUUAUAUUUUUUGAAAUUAAUUUUUUUAUCUCAUUAUUUAAAGUUAUGUUAUUAGACAUUCAAUUUUGUAAUAUUUUUUAUUUUUUUAUUGUAAAUUAUCAUGGAUAGUUAGUUAGUCAAAUUAACUUAGGUUAACAAAGUUUUUUUUUAAUAUUUUUUAUUUCACUAUCAUCUCGAGGUCAUUGUUUUUAAAAAAUUAUUUUUUUUAAUCUUGAUCUGGGUCGCAUGGUAGUCCAACUAAUCUGAGUUAAGUUAAAGUUUUUCUCAAUGUUUUUAUAAAUAAUUUGUUUUUUAAUUUUACCAGGCUCACAACAGUGUAGCGUAAAACUAAAAGUUGUAUCAUAAGAAGGUUGAGGACAUUUGUAGGUCGGCUAAUGCUGGCCAUAAAUAGCCAUGUAUGUGAAGCUAUGCAGGUGUGCUAGUGGACACAAAAACACUUAUGCAGAAAAGUGUGCUGAAUGUUCUGGUAGUUCCAAAAAGAAUCACAUAAAUAGUUGUGAAAUUUAAUAUUUUAAAGUUGUUUUAUGGGAAACAUGAUAUUUCAAAAAUAUAUUUGUUAAAUGACUUCACAAUUUACGAUGACGAGAGAAAAAUAAAAUAAAUACUUUAAUUAUACAUCAAAUCUAUCAUCAAAAUAACUCGACGAUGUGAAUCUAAUAAAAUUAAAGAAGUUCACCAAGUAGAUCACACUCAUUGAAGCUCUAAUUAUAAUAUCACUAGUAGCAUUAUAAAGUUCUGGACAAAAUAAAUCAAAUAUAAACAAUAAAGAUAAUCAAUGAUAAUGAUAAUUGAAGUGGGUCAUAUAUAAUAGGCGGAAAACAUGGUGAAAUCUAGGGUUAAGAUUAAAAAAGAUGAUGGAAGGGAAGAUGAAGGUGAAGAUGGAGAACAAUAAUCAGAUUAGCGAGAAGAACAGGUAUCAAAAUUCUGGAUGGAGAAGUUCCAGUUUUCCAGACUGCAACAGUAGAAAUGAUAAGAACACCUGCUAAGAAGGCCAGUAAUCUGUCGUGAAUGAAGAAAUUCAUGGAUGGUAGCAGCGAGAUUUAGCAUGAAGCAUUUAACUUGUUUUCUCUAUUGUAAUUCAUGUCGCUAGAGGUAAUAGAAUUGCACUUGUCUUGCCAGCAUUUAUAGAGAUAUGAAUCUGUUGAAAGGGAAAUUAAAUCGUAGAGUCAACCUUGUUGCGGAUUCCAAAGGGAAACCAUGAUGGUUUAACAGUUAAGCUUUGGUCAUCAAUGCAAUUGGUUCAGGUUGGGGUUUGGAAGAGGUUCGGUGAACUGCGGCGGCCGGAGCCUAAUCUGAUUAGGAGUGGGUACCCUAGGUUGGUUCGGUGGAACAAAUUGAAACUGGAAGUUGAGAAUGUUUCGUUGGUUCUAGACUCGGAUAAAGAGAGUUUUAGCUCUGGAAAACUGGGAUUUCCUCAAGUUUUAUGGAGAAAAAGAAAGGUGGGCCGGCGACUGUUGGUUCUAGUUUGAAAGACGAUUUAAUGGCAUUUGCUCGAGGCGUCAACGCUGUGUGGAGUUGGCUGUUCAGAACAGUAUUUACCUCAUAGGGUUGCAAUGCAAUUCGGAACCGACGAAGAUCUUUCAGGGUUGUGUUGGUCAAUGCUCUAAUUAACAGACCUGAGAUUGCAGAGAGCUUAAAGCUUUUGUUGAGAGCUUGAGCAGAUGAUCACACGAAUAAAAACAGCAAGAUUAAGACAAAAAUUGUUAACCUAGCUAGCCUUCUUCGUGAGAACGAUUUGCUUGAUUUUAUUUUAUUUGAAUUCAUGGCUUCUCUUCUCCUGUUGGCUAUGCUACUAACAUGGCAGGAGGCAUUGCAGCAGGUCCUAGAUGGAUAACUCCCGCCAUUAACAACAGAUGCAGAACAAGGUUAAAAGGAUAAUAGAAAUAAAUAUAUUCAUAAAGUAACCAUGCACUAUGGCAUGAAGUUAUUAUCACAGUGUGCAGACAAAUGCCGUGUGCUGCUGUACCCAACGCAGAGCCUACUAGGCGUUAUCUGUUCUGCCCACCCAAUCCUGACUAGAUAAGCACUUGAGAGUUUUUUUUCUUAUUUUAUGAAGUUGAUUUGAAGUGUUGAUUUGAUAUAAAAAUUUUAAGGAGAGAUAUUUUCCUUCAAAUAUUAAGACCAAUUUGAAAUUUGUAGAUUAACUUACAAAUUUUUAAUAAUUUUUAUUAAAAAUUAUCUUUUAUUUAUUUAUAUAAUAGUUUAAAUAAAAGCAAUAGAAACUAGUAGAAUUCAGCAUUAAUUAAAUUGAUUUAGAUUUAGAUAACUUUAUAAAUAUCAAAUCCAAAUAAAUUAUAACUAAUUUAAAAUCAAUCAAAUAUUAAAAGAAUUUUUUAAUAUUAAAACAAUGAUAUAUUAAAUCAAUCUAAAACUUUACACUUUAAUUUGUAAAACCCGUAACUUGAACCAUGAACUCCACUUGAAAAAUUAAAAAAAAUUAAAUUAUUAUGAUCAUCAAGCACAAACAACAAUAAUAAUUCAGGAUUUUUACUGAAAGUAGAAUCCAUCAUACAUGUUGUUGAUUAUUGAGUUAUAAUCGGUCCGUACAUGAAAAGGAAUGAAUUUAGAGUUAUUAAACUCUGUCGACCGGUGGAUGGACUGAUCUGGGUUUGUUAAAAGACCAACCGGUGCAAUGAUCCGGCAAAACCCAGUCAACCUGUAAGAUUCCACAUCGGGGGGUGAGGGGUGUGUUGCUGGCCUUAUAAGUGGUACUGGUUGCCGACUUGUUAUACGCGUUUUGGGACGUCAGGCUUAGAAUUAGGCUCGCGUCACCAGGAACAAAACCGUGAGGGCGGUAAGGCCUAAAGCGGACAAUAUAUGACAAGUUGGGCCGGGCCGUUACACGACCCGUGACCCAGAUAAAACCCGAAUUUUUUUUUUUAAAAUGUGGUUUUUCUUCUACACUCCCUUUUUUAUUUUUAUUUUAGUUGGUUAUUAACACUUUUUAAAGUUCACUAUAUAAAUACUAGAAAUAUAUAUUUUUUUUUCAAUGUGGGAUUGAAACCCUUUAGAAUAUACUUUAUGUUUCCAAGAAAAAAGUUAUUUUUUUAAUGUAAGAUUUCAAGCCCUUUCAUAUAUAUACUUUAUGAUCAUAAGAAAAAAGUUGUGUUUUUUUAAAGUGAGAUAUAAAACCCUUUAGUACAUAUACUCUAUGUUCCUAAGAAAAAAGUUUUUUCAAUAUGUGAUUUGAAGCCUUUUCGUAUAUAUACUCUAUAUUCACAAGAAAAAUAUUAUGUUUUUUCAAUGCGGGAUAAUAAGUUUUUUGGUUUAAAUAUUUCAACUUAAAAGGAUGACAUAAUAUAUUUUCAAUGUGAGAUUUGAAACUCUUUAAUAUAUAUAUAUAUACACACCUAUGUUUCCAAAAAAAAAAUUAUUUUUUUAAUGUGGGAUUUGAAGUCUUUUCAUAUAUAUAUCAUAUCGUCACAAAAAAAAAUUAUAUGUUUUUUAAUGUAAGCUUUAAAAAUUUUAUUAUACUUUACAAUCUUCCAAAAAAAAAAAAGUUUUGGAUUAAUCCAAUUAACCUGUCUACCUUUGUAGCUGAUUUAAUAACUUUGGGAUGUAAGGAAUAUCUAAAAUAGUCUUAGAACAACUCACAUUUGUUUGCUAUCGAUUUGAAAAGUGAAAGUUGCUCUCUCGUAAUGUCUGCUUUUAAAAUCAAAAGAAUCUAACAUUAAAUGCGGGGUAUUGUUGCCGUUGCAUAUUUUUAUUUUCUGUUUUAUAAAACUAAAAACAGUUUUUUUCAUAAUUUUCAGGUUUUUUCAUUUUGUUUUAAUGACCCCAGUUAACGUGUUUGAGCGUAAUUGUGUUUGAUUUUGAAAAUUUUUUUUACUCAGAAAGUAUGUUAUUUUUAAAAAAAUUAUUUUUAAAAUCAACACAUCAAAAUGAUUUGAAAACAUUAAAAACAUAUUAAUUUAAAAAAAAAAUUAAAUUUUUAAAAAUACUUAUACAGUGCCAAACAUGUUAUCACCACCUUUAUUUUCCCAUAUUUAGAAGUUAUUUAAAAAACAGAAACCAAAGAUACAAAACGGCAACCAUGACCAUGCCAGGGCUAAACAAAAGCUCUACAAGACCAAUCCACGAGAGUUAAACUCCAUUUAAUCAAGAUUUGAAUGUGCUGGGCAAUGAAAGCCCACGAUUAUAUAAAAUAAUAAAAAAAAAAAAAUCAAAGAGUGGAAUGCUUGACUAUAACUGUAAAACCAAGCCUAGUCCAAUAAAUCCAUGUAAAAAUCCGAUAAUUCAGAACCUAGAUUAAUUUGCUCAAUGAUCAUGAUUUAUGACCUAAUCAAUUUAAUUACAUUAAAGCUGAACAUGAUUUAGUCAAGAUUUAUCCUAGUUAAAAGAAAAAAAAAUUCCAUAAAAUCUUAACCUGAGAAUCGAGGUCAUUUUCUUCGAGCAAGCAACGAAUCUCAAACAAAAAAAAAAAAUACACUAGGUGAAAUCAUCAGCCCUCAACCUAGAUAUGUGUUGGAAUUCGUCUUCCCUUAAUAUCCUUCUUCCUUUGAUGAAGUUUUCAUUUGAUUAAGGAUUUGUGUUCUCUGUUCCAAGUUGAAUGUUUUGAGUGACAAUACAUACUAGGUGAAUUGCCAGGUGAUGCCGCCGGUUGUUAUAUAAACACGAUGUAAGCAUUCGGUUGAGUAUAACCGGCGGUACUCGAAGAAGAAGACACGCAGACAAAUUAAACAAAAUGAAAAAAAUAAUACCAGAAGUAUUGAGGUUAAACAAUGCAACCACGUGAUUUAUGUUAGAGAAACGUAAAGUGUUAACUAGCUUGUUUAGAUUUGCAGUAUUCGGUUGUUUUUUUUUAUUUUUAUUUAAUUUAUUUUUAAUAUUAAUUAUUAAUUUUAAAAUAAAAAAAUUAAUUAAAAAAUCAUUUUUUUUACUAAAAAAUAGUGUGGCUUCAAUAACAAACAGUUUGGAAAAGUCUCAAAUACAAAGCCACACGUGCAUAACAAAUCGUAAUUAACUUGAAGGUGUCAAGAUCUGAACUCUGAGCUUUGGGAGGUUAGUAGGAAUGUCGAGGGCAUUUGGAGGCAGAAAUCCCGCCAAAACUGGUGCAAAAUGGGGAUAAAAACACUCGGUUCUUCCAUCUUUCGACAAGCUUGAGGAAUGGUCGGAACCACAUUAGCAAGAUUGAGCAGAAUGGCAGAUUUUUUAGACUCUCCCAAAUGACAUCAAAGAGGGGUGCUGUCAACUUCUUCUCAAGUCUGUUUGCCAAGCCACAAUGAAGAGAAUUGAAAUGGGAGACUCAAGGUUUCUCUAAAUUUCAGAGAAAGUUCAGUUUGGUUAGAAAGACUACCUUCAUUGGAGGAAGUGAAGCAAGCCGUAUGGGAUUGUGAUGGUUCAAAAGCCCCGGUCCUGACGGGUUCACCUUCUCCUUCUAUAAAAAGGAAUGGAAUCUUAUCAGCCCUGACAUCUUUGUGAUGGUCACAGAAUUUUUCAGAACAGGUAAAUUACCAAAGGGGAUCGGCUCGUCCUUCGUGACUUUGAUCCAAAGACCAAGAGGCCGAGCACUUUCUCCCAAUUUCGACCAAUUAGUUUGAUUCAUGGGUUAUAUAAAAUAGUGGCAAAGCUCUUGUCCACUAGGCUCCGAAGCAUUCUACCAGAUGUGAUAAGUGUAAACCAGUCUGCUUUCAUUGCGGGCGUCAGAUUCUAGAUGGGUUCAUGAUAGCAAACGAGGUUGUCCAUAGUAUUCGUAGCAAAAGGACCACGGGUUUUUGCUAAAGGUAGAUUUUCAUAAAGCCUUCGACUCGAUUUUAUGGGAGCAUAUCGAUUCUACCAUGGGUUAUAUGGGUUUUGGAUCUCACUGGAGGAAACUGAUCUUUGAAUGCAUGUCCACUUCUAAAUUGGCCAUCCUGAUUAAUGGCUCACCAAGCAGAGAAUUCAGUAUGGAGAGGGGUCUCAGGCAAGGGGACCCCCUCUCUCCUUUCCUUUUUGACAUAGCAGUUCAGGGGUAACAGUUCUAUUCAACAGGGCAUCAGAUUCAGGUUACUUUAAAGGUUUGCAGACUUCGCAAGGACAUCACAUAACCCAUUUGCAAUAUGCAGAUGACACUCUUAUUUUCCUGCCAAUGAUUAUACCUCUCUACUGCAUGUCAAGAGGAUCCUCCGCUGGUUUGAGAUCAUUUCAGGACUGAAAGUUAAUUUCUAUAAAAGCUCACUUAUAGGAAUUAAUUUGGAUAACGAAUACACUUCAGGUCUGGCUAACACAAUUUUGUCGCAGUGACUCCUUUCCCAGUCAGAUACCUUGGGUUGCCUCUUGGUGCUAACCCAAAUAGGCUCUCCACUUGGAAACCGGUAUUGUCCACAAUCAGAGCAAAGUUAAGCAAAUGGAAAGGGAAGUUUUUGAGCAUGGCCGGAAGGAUAUGUCUUAUUAAAUCUGUCUUAAACUCUCUACCUCUAUACUAUAUGUCGGUCUUUACUAUGCCAAAGGGCAUUGCAAAAGCAAUAUCCUCAAUCACCGUUUUUUCUCUGGAAGGGCUCCUCAAAUUCACAUGGUAUUUGUAAGGUUGCUUGGCAUAAGGUAAUUAAGAGUAAGCCACUUGGAGGUCUCGGGCUUGGUUCUAUUCACAGUAAAAAUCUGGCUCUGAUGUUUAAAUGGCUUUGGAACCUUGACAAAGGAGUGGCAGGAGGUUGGCAAGAACUCAUCUUACGAAAGUACCGGCCACAUUUUACAAAUGGCCUUCCUGUGUUUGCAGGUUCUUUAUCUCCAACUUGGCGUGGCAUGGUAUCUGCAAUUUCCUUAAAUCACAGCAUAGCCGCUCCCAUCCAAUCCAAUGUUGGGUUUAAGGUGGGUGAUGGGAGAAACAUCAGGUUUUGGUCUGAUUCUUGGCUAGGCUAUGCAGCCCCUCUCCAGUUCAUGUUCCCUAGGCUCUACAACCUCUCCCUGCAGCAAUCUUUAAGCGUUGCAGAAGUUCAUAACCCAACAGAUAACUCAAUCAAUCUUUCUUGGAGAAGACCCCUUCGAUCCCGAGAACUCUGCAUGUGUGAAAGCUUGAUAGCAGAAGUGGAACGUGGCCUAGUCUUCUCUGAUGGUGAAGACAACAAGAUUUGGAAACACCAUAGCUCCAACAAUUACACAGUCUCCUCUGGGUGCCAUCUCUUUGACGGUUUAAAUGUUUCAGGACAUCUUCACUCCCCUGCUUUGCUUUGGAAAGGGUUUGCGCCUCCAAAAAUAGAUGUGUUCAUAUGGCUUCUUUUCAAUGGCAGUGUCUGCACAAAGGGUUUCUUAGCUGAGAGGAGAAUCAUCAAUUAUGAGGAAGCUCUUUGUCCUUUCUGCUGCAAGGAGAUUGAGACUAUACAUCAUCUCUUCCAUCUUUGUCCAAAAUCAUGGUCUCUUUGGGGCAGACUAUUUAGUUGGUUUGGGUGUGUAGGUUGUCUGCCAAAAGACCAUAUGAUAACCUUCAGGAAUGGUCCAACAUGGUAAAAAGGAAAAUUUCAGCGUCAGGCAAUUACCCUUCUCUGUAAAGGAUUAUACUGGUCAAUUUGGAUAGCGCGCAACCACAUGAUCUUUGACAACAAAACUCCAGACUGGGAUGUGAUUUUUGACCUCACCUUUCAUCAGUUAGCCUUUUGGUUGAAGUCCUUUGUUAAAAAUUUCAGCUAUAUAAGCUCUGAUCUUUAUAGGAAUCCUGAAUGUAUCAUGAACUGGACUAACUAGUCAGGUCUAUAGAUUCCUUGUUUUCUUAAUGUUUUUUUAAUUCCCCAUGUAAUCUUCCUUAGCAGCCCUCAUCUCUUUAAUGGGGACGUAUUAUUUAUAAUAUUCUCGAUUACUAUAUAUAUAAAAAAAACUUGAAGGUGUCACCCAAUUAAUUAGAUUUUUAGUUUGCUUUCGAGAUAUUAGUAGUUCGAGUUCUGUAAAUCUUAAAAUUACUAGAGGUUUAUUUGGUUGUUACCUUCAGAGCCUGAACCUCUAGAAAUUAGUCGAGUUACACGUAAACUGACUUUUAUUUUUAAUUUAGUCUCUCAUUGUUUUUUUCAUUUAACUUUUAUGCUAGAUUUAGUCAUUGUUGUUUCGAUUGCUAUUUAUUUUAUUUUUAAAUUUUGGAUGAUUAAGGAUUAUGCUUAGUGAUUUUUUAUUAUUUGCCUUUAAUGAUAUAAUCUCGAUCUAAUGAACCGGGUUACUAUUUCGAGGAUUAAUUCGAUUUCACUUUGGUUUUUUAUUUAUUUUUUUAAACAAAAUAAUUACUUUUUAAUUUCAUCAUUUGAUUUUAGGUUAUUAGGUCUAAAUUUUUUUUUUCUCCUUUAUGUGGUGUUAUUCUGGUGUUAUAUCUUAGGUUGAGUGUUUUUCGAGAUAACUCAGGUUUUUUUUAAUUUAGUUUAUUUAGUUUAUUUUAUUUAAUUUUUUAAUAUUAAAUUAUUGAACCUUAAAAUUUAUAUUUUGUUUUGUAUUUUUUUUAUAAGUUUAACAUGAUCUUAAUGUCGUUGUUUAUUUUUUAAAUUAAUUUUUUUAAUCUGGAACUCCCAUCAUGGGUCGCAUGGUAGUCCAACUAAUCUGAGUUAAGUUAAAGUUUUUUCAAAUUUUUUUUUUUUACCAGUCGCACUGUGUAGCGUAAAACUAAAAGUUGUAUCAGAAGAAAUGUGUAGGACAUGUGUAGGUCGGCUAAUGCUGGCCAUAAAUAGCCAUGUCUGUGAAGCUAUGCAGGUGUGCUAGUGGAGACAGAAACACUUAUGCAGAAAAGUGUGACGUAUGUUCCGGUAGUUCCAAAAAGAAUCAGAUAAAUAGUUGAGAAAUUUAAUAUUUUAAAGUUGUUUUAUGGGAAACAUGAUAUUUCAAAAAUAUAUUUGUUAAAUGACUUCACAAUUUACGAUGACGAGAGAAAAAUAAAAUAAAUACUUUAAUUAUACAACAAAUCUAUCAUAAAAAAAACUCGACCAUGUGAAUCAAAUAAAAUUAAAGAAGUUCACCAAGUAGAUCACACUCAUUGAAGCUCUAAUUAUAAUAUCACUAGCAGCAUUAUAAAGUUCUGGACAAAAUAAAUCAAAUAUAAACAAUAAAGAUAAUCAAUGAUAAUGAUAAUUGAAAUGGGUCAUAUAUAAUAGGCGGAAAACAUGGUGAAAUCUAGGGUUAAGAUUAAAAAAGAUGAUGGAAGGGAAGAUGAAGGUGAAGAUGAAGAACAAUAAUCAGAUUAGCGAGAAGAACAGGUAUCAAAAUUCUGGAUGGAGAAGUUCCAGUUUUCCAGACUGCAACAGUAGAAAUGAUAAGAACACCUGCUAAGAAGGCCAGUAAUCUGUCGUGAAUGAAGAAAUUCAUGGAUGGUAGCAGCGAGAUUUAGCAUGAAGCAUUUAACUUGUUUUCUCUAUUGUAAUUCAUGUCGCUAGAGGUAAUAGAAUUGCACUUGUCUUGCCAGCAUUUAUAGAGAUAUGAAUCUGUUGAAAGGGAAAUUAAAUCGUAGAGUCAACCUUGUUGCGGAUUCCAAAGGGAAACCAUGAUGGUUUAACAGUUAAGCUUUGGUCAUCAAUGCAAUUGGUUCAGGUUGGGGUUUGGAAGAGGUUCGGUGAACUGCGGCGGCCGGAGCCUAAUCUGAUUAGGAGUGGGUACCCUAGGUUGGUUCGGUGGAACAAAUUGAAACUGGAAGUUGAGAAUGUUUCGUUGGUUCUAGACUCGGAUAAAGAGAGUUUUAGCUCUGGAAAACUGGGAUUUCCUCAAGUUUUAUGGAGAAAAAGAAAGGUGGGCCGGCGACUGUUGGUUCUAGUUUGAAAGACGAUUUAAUGGCAUUUGCUCGAGGCGUCAACGCUGUGUGGAGUUGGCUGUUCAGAACAGUAUUUACCUCAUAGGGUUGCAAUGCAAUUCGGAACCGACGAAGAUCUUUCAGGGUUGUGUUGGUCAAUGCUCUAAUUAACAGACCUACGAUUGCAUAGAGCUUAAAGCUUUUCUUGAGCAGAUGGUCACACGAAUAAAAACAGCAAGAUUAAGACAAAAAUUGUUCACCUAGCUAGCCUUCUUCGUGAGAACGAUUUGCUUGAUUUUAUUUUAUUUGAAUUCAUGGCUUCUCUUCUCCUGUUGGCAUUGCAGCAGGUUCCUAUAUGGAUAACUCCCGCCAUUGACAACAGAUGCAGAACAAGGUUAAAAGGAUAAAAGAAAUAAAUAUAUUCAUAUAGUAACCAUGCACUAUGGCAUGAAGUUAUUAGCAUUUAUCACAGUGUGCAGACAAAUGCCGUGUGCUGCUGGACCCAAUGCAGAGUCUACUAGGCGUUAUCUGUUCUGCCCAUCCAAUCCUUACCAGAUAAGCACUUGAGAGUUUUUUUUUUUAUUCUAUCCCGUUGAUUUGAAGUGUUGUUUUGAUAUAAAUUUUUUAAGGAAGAGAUAUUUUUCUUUAAUAUUAAUACCAAUUUGAUAUUUGUAUUUUUGUUUAAUAAUUUUAUUUUUUAAAAAUAUCUUUUAUUUGUUUAUAUAAUAAUUUAAAUAAAAGCAAUAGAAACUAGUAGAAUUCAGCAUUAAUUAAAUAUUGUGAUGAUGUUUGAUUCAUGUUGUGAUAACUUUAUAAAUAUUAAAUUAAAACAAAUUAUGAUGACUAAUUUAAAAUUAAUUAAUUAUUAAAAGAGUUUUUUAAUAUUAAAACGAUGAUAUAUUAAAUCAAUCUAAAUUUUACGGUUUAAUUUAUAAAACCCAUAACUUGAAUCAUGAACUCUACUUGAAAAAUUAAAAAAAACAUUAAGGUUGUUAUGAUGAUAAAGCACAAACAACAAUUAUAAUUCAAGAUUUUGACUAAAAGUGGAAUCCAUUAUACAUGAGUAUUGAUUAUUGAGCUAUAACCAGUCCGUAUAUGAAAAGGAAUGAAUUUAGCAAAGUUAUUAAACUCGGUCGACCUAGUGGCUGGACUGGUCUGGGUUUGUUAAAAGACAAAUCAGUGCAAUGACCCGGCAAAACCUGGUCAACCCAUGACCUGGAUGAGACUCGACAUUUUUUUUUUUCAAAUGUGGUUUUUCUUUUAUAACUUUUUUUUUCAUAUUUUUUUAGUUGGUUAUUAACACUUUUUAUAGUUCACUAUAUAAAUACUAGAAAAAUAUUUUAUUUUUUCAAUGUGGAAUUUGAAACCCUUUAGUAUAUACUCUAUGUUCCCAAGAAAAAAAAUUAUUUUUUUAAUGUGGGAUUUCAAGCCCUUUCAUAUAUAUAUAUUUUAUGUUCAUAAGAAAAAAAUUAUGUUUUUUCAAAGUGAGAUUUGAAACCAUUUAGCAUAUACACUCUAUAUUUCUAAGAAAAAAGUUGUUUUUUCAAUAUGUAAUUUGAAGUUCUUUCGUAUAUAUACUCCAUGUUCACAAGAAAAAUGUUAUGUCUUUUCAAUAUGGGAUAACAAACGUUUUGGUUUAAAUACUUCAACUUAAAAGGAUGACAUAAUAUCUUUUCAAUGUGAGAUUUGAAGCCCUUUAAUAUAUAUACCUAUGUUCCUAAGAAAAAAAAUUAUUUUUUCAAUGUAGGAUUUGAAGUCCUUUUGUAUAUAUGCUCUAUUUUCACAAGAAAAAAGUUAUGUAUUUUUCAAUGUAAGAUUUGAAACUUUUUAUUAUACUUUAUCUUUACAAAAAAAUAAAUUUAAAUUAAUCCAAUUAACCUGUCUACCUUUAGAGCUGAUUUAAUAAUUUUGGGAUGGAAGGAAUAUUUAAAAUAGUCUUAGAACAAGUCACAUUUGUUUGCUAUCGAUUUGAAAAGAGAAAGUUGCUCUCUCGUAAUGUCUAGUUUUAAAAUCAAAAGAAUCCAACAGAAAACGGCAACCAUGACCAUGCCAAAAGGGCUUAAACAAAAGCUCUACAGGAUCAAUCCACGAAAGUUAAACUCCAUUGAAUCAAGAUUUGAAUGUGCUGGGCAAUGAAAGCCCACAAUUAUAUAAAAUAAAAAAAUAAAAUUCAAAAAGAGUACUGGAAUGCUUGACUAUAACUGUAAAACCAAGCCAAGUCCAAUAAAUCUAUGUAAAAAUGUGAUAAUUCAGAACCUAGAUUAAUUGCUAGCUCAGUUGAUGAUCACGAUUUAUGACCUAACCAAUUUAAUUACAUUAAUGCUUACCAUGAUUUAGUCAAGAUUUAUCCUAGUCAAAAGAAAAAAGAAAUUCCAUAAAAUCUUAACCUGAUAAUCGGGGUCAUUUUCUUCGAGCAAGCAACGAAUCUCCAUAAAAUUUUAAACAUAAUUAGUGUAUAGAUUAAUUGGAAUCUUACCAAACAUAUAUAUAUAGAUCCUUCUAGCAUUUUGUCUUUAUUUGUAGUCUCCCUGCAUUUUGUAGUAGCAUGUCAUAUAUAUAUAUAUAUAUAUAUAUAAUUUGUACCAGAUGAAACAAAACAAUUCUCAAUACGUGGUGUUAUUAUACUUGAGAAUGAUUUAAAAGAUUGGGUCACAGGUUUCCAGCCUAUAUACUGAUUUUAUUAAAAGAACGAAGAAAUAAAUGCAAGUAAAUGUAAACAGAUUUCUGAUGCGAAUGAACAAGGCAAGACCAAUAAUGUCAGGAUCCUUGAUCAAACACAGAGCAUACUUAAUAAAGUAUAACAAGAAUUUAAAUGAUGAAAAUAAAAUGUUACUUAAAUUUGUAAUGUAAAUCAAUACAAGAGAUAUUGAUUAUAGAGGAGAGUGGAUAUGGGUUACAGGUAUGAGUUACAAGGGAGAAUAAAAUUUUCUCAGGGAAAAUGAUAGUCUGCCUUCUGAGGAUUUAAAAGUCCCCUUUUAUAGACGAGUUGACAUGGAAGAGGCCAAAAUGUGUUGUUGGGAAAGCUUGGAGAUUCCGUCAGAACCCAUGUGAACCCAUGUGGUAUUGCCUACCAUGAUUGGGUGAAGACAAAAUAAAAAAUGCCCAUGUUUUUUGUGGGACUUUCAUCUGUUGUCUUCUUGUCAUCGACACUGGAUUUGUUUGUUUGUAGUAGCAUGUGAUAUUUGUAAGAAAAAGCCUAAACCAAAUGGGCUUAAAGUUAAAAAGGACUCAAAACAGUUGAGUCGAAAAGAUAUGGGCUCUAAAGAGAUGAGCCUGAGAAAGCCUGAAAUACUCCUUUUUUUUAAUGUCGCUUGAUAGGUGGUAGGAUACCAAAACAGUCAUCUUCAUUAUCAUCUCCAAGGAAAAUGGUAGGAGAUAUCGAUCCAGAUGAGCUGGAUUGAGACAAGACCGUUUUCGGGUCUUGGCUUUGUAUAAUGCUUUGGACUAUUUGUGUGUAUUCUUCUUCAGUUCUAGUAGAGGCAAGAAGAGCUGUUGUUUGAGCCUUUCGGGCUAGAAACUUUGAUUGAGGAUGAUGAUCAAUGAUGGGAGCUGUUUGAUGUUUUUGUAACCAUUCCGUAACAGCUAAUUUGGAACUUUUGGAUUCAGUUGCAAAAGAAUCCCACCAUUUGAUUUUGAACUUGCGAACAAGUACUGGAUGUUCGUUUUGUAGAUUAUAAUCAUAAAACCAUGAACAUACCCAUGGCACAAAAAAAUUUGUAUAGAAAAUGAGAAGGGAAGAGAACUUCCUUUCAUAAGGAGCUAGUUAAAAUUUAUUUUUGAAAUGGAGGUAACCGUUUUCAACUAGAGGAUGGUCUUUGAGGUAGUCAACAUGACAACCAUAGUAGUCCCACCAUUGGAGGAACCAGAGUGGGAGGUUUGUAGUAUUCAUGUCAUUAUGGAAGUAGAAAAGCCAAGAAUGACUAUGGUUUGGAUUUUGUGGUAGGAAGGCAUUGAACCAUGCAUGUUGGUAAUCCCAGUACGUAUAGGAAAUAUUGAAGUCCUGGGGUUUGUACGGAAAUGUAUGGGGAAUGAGAGAGGUUGAUGUAAGGGUUGUCCCCAAUCUUUAGGGUGAAUGACUUUGUGAAUGAUACAUGUAGAAUAUGCCGGUUCUGUGUGAUCAGAAUGAAGUUUGAAGUAUUUGAACUUGACAGAAUUGGUAAUUUCAAGUAUUGUAGCAUAAUAGGAUUAUGGUUUGUCUAAAUUCCAGGGUUUGUAGUACCAAUGUGAAGGGAAAAUUUUGGAAGCAGUAAUGGAAGGGUUUUCAUGAUAAAAUCCUUCUUCCAUAGUUAAAAUAUUUUGGAAAGUAGUUUUGAAAAUAUAUUUGGAUUUGGUUUUGGGAAACUGGUUUGUUGUAAAGAAAGGAGGGGUUUUGAAGCAAAAAGGCCUCCUUGAGGUUUUGAAAAUGAUUUGGAAAUGCUACCUGUUUGAGAUAUAGAGUCAGUGGAGGCCUGUUGAGACACUUUUUGUAAUGCCAAGAGUAAUUUUGGUGAUUUGGAUAUAGUGUCAACCCAAUAUUGAACUGCGUCUGUUUGUACAUGUGGUGGUUUUAUAGUUUCUUCUUCUUCAAUAACUAUCUCAUACCAGGAUUUGAUGGGUUUGACAGCUAAGAUAAUUGAAGACAUGAGUUUUGUAGAAGGCUUGGGGCUCUCUGAUUUUAUAAGUUGGGUUUGAGGGGCUUUCCCCUUGUCUUUGGCCUUUGCUUUAGGAGGCAUCAAUACCUGUUUUGAAGGAAUUCUCGGGUUAGGAAAUCAGAAUGGAAUUUGAAUCUCCUUUAAUGUAGACAAUAUCGAAAUAAAAAAUACUUAAAAUAGCUUGCCAUCUAGCAAAAAUCUGUUUUGAAGCAAGAUUUUGGACAUCUUUUUGUAGAACUUUUUUUGCAAAUUUGCAGUCAACACGUGAAAGAAAUUUUUGAUUUAAUAAAUCACUUUGAAAUUUUGUAAUACAAAGAACAAUUGAAAGGAUCUUAUUUUUUAUAGUAGAGUAAUUUUUAUGGCAAUCAUUCCAGUUGGCGGAUGUGUAUUGGGGGAUUUGUUCUUUGUCAUCUUGUACUUGUUUAAGAAUCCCACCAUAUCUUAGGUUAGAGGCAUUGGUCUCGACAAUUUCAGGAGCUAACGGGUUAGCUAAAUGGAGGAGAGGAAUAGUUUGGACCUUUUUCUUAAUCUGUUUGACUAGGUCGGUAUGGAGAUCGAACUAAGGAAUGAGGUUUGUUCGUAACCUGUCAUGUAAAGGUUUGGCUAGACCGCUAAUACUUGGAUAGUAGUUUAGAACAUAAUUAAGACUGGUUAAAAACCUUUGCAAUUGGGUUUUAUCGGUGAUCUUAUCAGGAAAUUUAUUUAUAAGGGUUAGAGACCUUUCUAUUGGUGUUACAGUACCUUGGAAAAUAUAAUGGCCUAGGAAAUGGACACGAGUUUGGAAGAGAGAAAAUUUUGUUUUAGAAACAACUAACCAUUUUGUUUUGCAGUAUGAAAGGAAGUAUGUAGAUGUUUGAAAUGUUGAUCUAUAAAAUGUAAAAAAAUAAGCACAUUGUCAAUGUAAACAAUGCAGAACUUUGAAUGUGCAUUGAAGAUGUUAUUCAUGAUGUGUUGAAAUUCAGAUGAUGUAUUUUUUUAGGCCAAAUGGCAUGACAUUCCAUUUGUAUUGGCCAAAAGGAACUGUAAAAGCAGUUUUGUAUCUAUCUUUGGGAUCAAUCUGGAUUUGCCAAAAUCCAGAUUUCAUAUCGAACUUAGAAAAUAUGAAUGCAGAGUGCAAUUUUUGUAACAAAUCUUUUUUGUUGGGGAUUAGAUAUCUGAUCCAUUUGAGAGCAGAAUUUAAAAGUUUGUAAUUGAUCACAAGUCUUGGUGUGCCUUUUUCGAUUUCAGAGUUUUUAUUCACAUAAAAGGCUGCACACAACCAGGGUGAUCGAGACUUUUGGAUAAGACCUUUUGACUCGCGAUCGUGGAUUUCAAGUCUGCAAUGUUGUUCUAAAUUAACAUUCAUUUGGAUAGGUCUUGCUUUUGUAGGUAUAAGUUUUUUUGAAAAAAUAUCUUCAUAUGGAAGAUCAAAGAUGUGUUGUUUUCUUUUUCAAAAAGCAUUAGGUAAGUCUGAACAGAUUUGUUGUUCAAUCUUAUUUUGUAAAUCAAGGAUUUUCUUUUUUAAAUCAGAGUUUUGUAAUUCUUUGUUUAUACGACAAAAAGAAACACGGUUUUGCAAAUCAUGGAAAUGGAAUUGUUUUCCAUGAAUCUGUGCAUUGAUAUGAUAAGUAUGUAUGGAGCAUGCUCUAAUCAAAUUUAAAUUUCUAGUCUUAGAUUUCUCUAAGAAUGGGAAAACAAGUUUGAUGCUAUUGAUUUUGGAAGUAAUACAAUUAUGAUGUGCCUGAUAUGGAGUGAUCUUGUGAAUGAAUAGAGUGCCAAGAAUGAUGGUAUGAUUAAUAAGUUUUUGUAACAACAAAGAAUGUUUUAAGAGAAAUGCCUUUGUUGAAAACAUAGGCUUGAGUUUUGCCUGUAAUAUGUAAUUUUAAAUUAUUAGCAGCAGAGAGUUGUUCAAAGGUAUUUUGUAAAAAUCAUUUUGGAGCCACGCCUUCUUUGAUGCAUUUCAAAUAUGCACCUGUGUCAAAUAAGGUAAUAGUGUCAAGUUUGAAAUCUUAUAAGAAAAUGAGAGUAAUUCUAAUUAAAUAUUUUUUGGAAGAUAUUUGUGUUAAUACGUUAAGGAAAUCAUCUAGAAUAUGCUCAAUAUUUGUAAGUGCAUGUGGCAAUGCAUGAGAUUCGAUGGUUUAAUCUUCUGUAUCAGACUUAGUAUCAGACUAGCUUUCAAUUCUGGACAGGAGAUGUUGUAAUAUGGCAGUCUUUUUGUUGGGCUUGUUUGAGGGUUUGUAAUUCGGAUUUGAGGGUUUUGAUCUCAGAAUGUAAUUCUGGAAUGGUGACAGUGGUUUUGGAUUUCUUUUUGUUAAGGAUCUUUGUAAGGUCAUAUGUACUAGUGCUGGUAGAGGGUAAUAUAGAGCGGUUUGGAGGGUUUGAUGGAAAGUGCUCUGGUUGGUUGAAAUCUUUCAAUAACUUAUCUAAGUAGGUUUUUUGAAGUUGAGGAUCAUCAAGUCUUUUGAUAACCUCAAGAAUGAAUUUCUGGUCUUGGGUUAAGAUGUUAAUUUGUUUGAAAUUUAUAGAGGCAUCUGAAGUAGCCCUGGUAGUUGCUAUUUUAUCGAUUUGAAAUUCUUCUUCAGAAGUGUCUGAAGGAGAGUGGUAUUUGGUCAGUGGCUUCAAUGUAAAGAUUUUGUAUUUGGUUGAUAAUAUCUUCAUCUAUUUGGAACUCAUGAAGUUUGGUAUUAACUUUGCAGAAACAAGAUGUAUGUCCUUUCUGGUUACAUUUGUAACAAAUAAUGUUUUUAAGGUCAAAUUUUGAUUUGGGUUUUGACUGGAAAGGUCUACAGGGUUUGGUAAAUUUAUAGGACUUUUUAUAGUAAGGUUGAUCUGGUUUGGAAUAAAACUAUUUUCAUCGGUCGACAAGCUCCUCUCUUUAUCCACUCAGUCUUGAAAAGUAUCUAAGCUAAAUUCAGUUAUAUUUUCAUGUUCCAAUUAAAUAUUUUAUUAUUAUUAUUAUUAUUCCCAAAGGAAAAUGUUUUUCUUUUUAUCAAGCAUGUGUAUCCAAUCAUGAUUUUAUAAGAAAAAUAAGAAUAAGAGAUCUUUUAGAUAGAGCUGGACAUAAAUGUUGGCUAGGUAAAUGUUUUGUUUGAAUCCUGUAGACCAUUCCUAUGAGGAUGGUGAGAGGAGGGCUCCAAUUCGUAGAAAAAAAACGAUUCCUUGAGGUUAUCCUGCACAUGGAGAAAAAAAGUAGAAAAUAGAAUUUGAAACAGAAAGUUGAGAAUGUUUCCGUUGGUUCUAGACUCGGGAAAAGAGAGUUUUAGCUCUGGAGAACUGGGAUUUCCUCAAGUUUUAUGGAGAAAUCCCAGUUUUUGGUCAAUGCUCUCAUUAACAGACCUGAGAUUGCAUAGAGCUUAAAGCUUUUCUUGAGCAGAUGAUCACACGAAUAAAAACAGCAAGAUUAGGACUAAAAUUGUUAACCUAGCCUUCUUCGUGAGAAUGAUUUGGAUGAUUUUGUUUGCUUUGCUAGUUAUGUUAGCAACUCAAGCUUGGCUUUGACAAAUGAAGCAGAUGAAAGUGUUUGGGCUUUAAGCUUUUCAUGACCACCCCGCCGGAGAUUGAAUUCAUGGCUUCUCUUCUUCUGUUGGCUCUGCUACUAACAUGGUAGUAGAGCUUUCGACUGUCAGGCAUGGCGUCAGUACCGCAAAGAGAGGCUGCCCCCCCCUUGAAGUUGAAUAUGACUCAUCGGAAGCUCUUCGAUGCCAGUCUUCACAUCAAAAUUGCUAGUUUAACUCAUCAAAAUUGUUAUUUGUAUCUCUAACAGUUUAAUAUUUUUAUUUAUUUUUAUUUAAUUAGAUAAUAAUAAAAAUGAAAAUUUAUAAAAUUAAAUAUUUGAUUGAAAGUGUAAUAACUUUAUAAAAUAAUAAAUUAUAAUAACAAAAAAAAAUUGCUAUGAUGAAGAGUCACCAUAAUAUUUUUCAAUUCUAAAGAGAGCAGUAUAUAAUUCUUGAAGGGACAGUAUGAAAACGACAAUAAUAAUUAAAGAUUUUUGUGAAAAUUAAAUUUAUUAUAUAUGCUGUUGGUUCUGUUUUAUUUAUAAAAAAAAUAUAUUUAAAUAUUUAAAGGAGUUAUUUGAAAAAAAAAUAUAGGCCCACGAGGGGUGGGCUGGUUUAAAUUUCUGGCGUUAUCGUACGAUUACACGCGAAAAUCUACCAAGCUCGGGCGGACGGAAGAUUUGAUGUUGAUUACAGAUCCGACCCUGUAUAAAUUAACUUCUAUCGUGAAGAGCCCUAGUCAUUGUAAACACAACUUUCAAUUUCAAUAGAAAGGAGGAAGUCAGUCAAUACGGGUGUCUGCAGCUAUGGAUUCGAUCAAGCCUUUAGCCCCGAGCCGCCGCGUUUCCAAGUCCAAACACAGGAAACAAUGGGUACGAAUCAAAUCUAGUUAUAUUUCUAUGUUUUUCUUAAAAAAAAGAUUAUUCUUAAUGCUUGUUUCUUGACUGGUUGUUGCUGUAUAUCAUGUCAUUAUCCCCAGAAAUUAAAAAUAAUAGUUGUUCUUAUACAUGUUUAGAAGAACAGAGAGAGGAGGGAAACAAUGGAACGAUUGAAAACAGAUAUGAUCGAGAUCGGUGAGGGACAACAACGCAUCAGAGAAGGGCAACGAGAAAUAAGACAAAAGUUUGAAGAGAUAGGAUCUGAAUGCCGCAGGCUCAAAGAGGAGACGAUGAACAUUGCCAAGCAGAGUGAUUACAACCAAAUCAAGAUAAACCUAAUGUUUAGCAUCUUGAAAGCCCGUGAGGACAACAACUUUGCCCAUGCUGAUCACCUUACUGGGCUCCUCCGGUUGGUUAAAUUCUCUUCGCCAUUUCUUUUCUUAAUUCUUGGGAUUCCGGAUUUCAUAAUUAAUCUUGCUAAUGCUAGCUAUUACUAGCAGGGAAACAUAAGUUAACGAACUCAAAAUAAA
Molecule: long non-coding RNA, 40859 nt
Filed under: Populus tremula
Lineage: Eukaryota; Viridiplantae; Streptophyta; Magnoliopsida; Malpighiales; Salicaceae
Description: long non-coding RNA (PTRE_LNC000329)
Source: RNAcentral